RNAcentral lists this long non-coding RNA (843 nucleotides) under Vulpes vulpes (red fox). Its description in RNAcentral is "lncRNA (ENSVVUG00000009975.1)". Lineage: Eukaryota; Metazoa; Chordata; Mammalia; Carnivora; Canidae. The record is from RNAcentral.
UCUUUUUUUUAGGGGGAGGUAGCAGAGGGAGAGGGACAGAGAGAGUCUGAAGAAGGUUCCACGUCCAGCAUGGAGCCUGACUACAGGCUCAAUUUCACAAUCUUGAGAUCAUGACCUAAGCCAAAAUCAAAAGUUGGACAUUUAAAACAAAACAAAACAAAACAAAACAAAAGUUGGACAUUUAACCAACUGAGCAACCAACUAUACCCUCUUUCUUUUGUUUGCUGUCCUUUGCUCUGUUGUAUACUCAGAGAACAAUGUUUUUGAAGAUUCUAAGCUCUGGAAGAAUAAGCGUGGAUUAUGACAAAAAUUUCUCAGGGUGCUGGCAGGUGGCCCAAUGCCACGCAUCUGGAAACCUACCCUGGACAUGUGGUGUUUCCUCCACUUACAGAGACCUGAGGGUGAGGAAAGAGAAAGUUUCCCAUUUCAAAGCUACAGAUCUUCCUUCUUUGAUACCCAAGCCUGAGUCCCAGAUCUCAUUGUCCUUUCUUUGUUUCAGCAGAAGCUUAAAAGAGUCUUUUGAUAUACAAAGGCAGGCCCAAUACAAGUGCAAAAUGAAAAGCCCAAUUUCUCUGCAUAAUAAAGUAAAGAGAAUUGAUGGUCACCUGAAAUAAGGUAAAAGUGGUAUUAAGAGGGUAACUGAAACAGGAGUGGAAGGGGCAGAAAUGACCACGGAACAUGUAAGUCCCAGAGGAACUGGAUAAUAGAACCAAUUUGAUUUAAAUUGCAAAAAAGCGAGGUGACCUUAGCUACCAUUUGGGUUAUGCAAUUCACCUCUCUUAACAGAACAUGCAGGCUGAGCACAACUUUCUCUCCACAGAAUAAACGUUGGGAACUGAGUCA